UAGAGUGGUUACAUACAGGAAGUAGAUUUGCAAGUUUGUGCUGCCUGACUGCAUUAAACAGCAGCUGCGUGAAUCUCAGAGAGGAUUAAAGAGGGACAUUCGAGUCACUUCACAGUCACUGCCGCACAGACAUGAUGGCUUUACUGGGAAUGUUCCUCUGGACACUGGCCCUGUCUGUUCAAGGCUCUGGGGCUCAGAUCAUCCUGACUCAGAGUCCAGCAGUGGAAUCGGUCGCUGUAGGAGUCACUGUCACUCUGAACUGCCAAUCCAGCAGCUCUUCAGUUGGGAACAGCUUAGCCUGGUAUCAGCAGAAACCUGGAGAAAGUCCCAAACUUCUCUUCUCCUCAGUGGGUAACAAGGUGUCUGGGAUUCCAGGCCGUUUCUCCGAUAGCCGUGAUGGUACAAAUUACAGGCUGAAAAUCAGUGGAGUGCAGGCUGAAGAUGCAGGAGAUUAUUACUGUCAGCAGUAUUAUAGCGGGUACACACAGUGACACAGGCCAGUACAAAAACCUCACUCCACUGUGCAUAUGCUCAGUCUAGGAAAACUACUAUCAAAAUUGGUAGAUUUCCCAAGAUAGAUCCUGACUACAGUAAUUUACUGGAUUCUGAUGAUCUUUUAUACCCUGAAACCCUGUACUGGAUGGUGAAUGCUUAUUUUAUUUAUUUUUUUUUGUCCAAUUUCAUUCUGACAUUUGGUAAUGAUUAAUUUAUUGUGCUAAGCAGUUUGCUUCAAUGGAUACAAAACACCACAACUUUUUUACUUUUAAUUUCUAUUUUGAAAAAAUACUUUAAAAAGUCUGACUAUUUCUUACUGGUUUGACUAGUCUAUCUAUUUUUGUUCAUCUUUGUAACAUGCAGAGAAGUUCACUGAAAUGAUUAAACAUAAUAUGUAUUGACUGACAGCAUAACAUGCUGUAUAUCCGCUCUGUGAAUAUCUUCCUGAGUCCCAAGGCAGAAAAGUGUCCUUCAAUUCUACAUUAUUUGUGAUUUUCUAUGUCUUUGGAGGAAAUAAGACAUCUAACAAUUUAGAUUUUUUUCAAAUUUAUUUUAAUUUUUUAUUUCACAGCAUGUCCUCUUUAGUGUACAACAGGAAUAAAUAUGUUUCCUUA
This is a non-coding RNA of Brienomyrus brachyistius, 1109 nucleotides long. The record is from the annotation of a RefSeq genome assembly. Lineage: Eukaryota; Metazoa; Chordata; Actinopteri; Osteoglossiformes; Mormyridae.